This 447-nucleotide ribosomal RNA is filed under the name uncultured bacterium. RNAcentral's name for it is "bacterial SSU rRNA". It matches the Rfam family "Bacterial small subunit ribosomal RNA", at positions 355 to 825 of the family's 1533-position model. The record is from RNAcentral.
UCGGGAAUUUUGGGCAAUGGGCGAAAGCCUGACCCAGCAACGCCGCGUGAAGGAUGAAGUAUUUCGGUAUGUAAACUUCGUAAGAAUAGGAAGAAUAAAUGACGGUACUAUUUGUAAGGUCCGGCUAACUACGUGCCAGCAGCCGCGGUAAUACGUAGGGACCAAGCGUUGUUCGGAUUUACUGGGCGUAAAGGGCGCGUAGGCGGUGUGUCAAGUCAGUUGUGAAAUCUCCGAGCUUAACUCGGAACGGUCAACUGAUACUGUCACACUAGAGUACAGAAGGGGCAAUCGGAAUUCUUGGUGUAGCGGUGAAAUGCGUAGAUAUCAAGAGGAACACCUGAGGCGAAGGCGGGUUGCUGGGCUGAUACUGACACUGAGGUGCGAAAGCGUGGGGAGCAAACAGGAUUAGAUACCCCAGUAGUCCCUGAGCGGGCUGGCAAGGCGCAU